GCAUAUCAAUAAGCGGAGGAAAAGAAACCCAACCGGGAUUGCCUCAGUAACGGCGAGUGAAGCGGCAAGAGCUCAAAUUUGAAAUCUGGCCCCCUCGGGGUCCGAGUUGUAAUUUGCAGAGGAUGCUUCGGGAGCGGUCCCCAUCUAAGUGCCCUGGAACGGGCCGUCAUAGAGGGUGAGAAUCCCGUCUGGGAUGGGCGGCCGCGCCCGUGUGAAGCUCCUUCGACGAGUCGAGUUGUUUGGGAAUGCAGCUCUAAGCGGGUGGUAAAUUUCAUCUAAAGCUAAAUACUGGCCGGAGACCGAUAGCGCACAAGUAGAGUGAUCGAAAGAUGAAAAGCACUUUGAAAAGAGAGUUAAACAGCACGUGAAAUUGUUGAAAGGGAAGCGUUGUCCACCAGACUCGCCCGGGGGGGUUCAGCCGGCACGUGUGCCGGUGUACUCCUCUCCGGGCGGGCCAGCAUCGGUUUGGGCGGCUGGUGAAAGGCCCCGGGAAUGUACCACCCUCCGGGGUGUCUUAUAGCCCGGGGUGCCAUACAGCCAGCCUGGACCGAGGCCCGCGCUUCGGCGAGGAUGCUGGCGUAAUGGUGGUCAACGGCCCGUCUUGAAACACGGACCAAGGAGUCUAACAUCUAUGCGAGUGUUCGGGUGUCAAACCCGUCCGCGCAGUGAAAGCGAACGGAGGUGGGAGCCCCUCGGGGCGCACCAUCGACCGAUCCUGAUGUCUUCGGAUGGAUUUGAGUAAGAGCAUAGCUGUUGGGACCCGAAAGAUGGUGAACUAUGCCUGAAUAGGGCGAAGCCAGAGGAAACUCUGGUGGAGGCUCGCAGCGGUUCUGACGUGCAAAUCGAUCGUCAAAUUUGGGUAUAGGGGCGAAAGACUAAUCGAACCAUCUGGUAGCUGGUUCCUGCGAU
This 909-nucleotide ribosomal RNA is filed under the name Talaromyces purpureogenus. RNAcentral's name for it is "LSU rRNA". It matches the Rfam family "Eukaryotic large subunit ribosomal RNA", at positions 38 to 964 of the family's 3401-position model. Lineage: Eukaryota; Fungi; Ascomycota; Eurotiomycetes; Eurotiales; Trichocomaceae. The record is from RNAcentral.